AGCGAACGCUGGCGGCAGGCCUAACACAUGCAAGUCGAACGGAUCCUUCGGGAUUAGUGGCGGACGGGUGAGUAACACGUGGGAACGUUCCCUUUGGUUCGGAACAACUCAGGGAAACUUGAGCUAAUACCGGAUGUGCCCUUCGGGGGAAAGAUUUAUCGCCAUUGGAGCGGCCCGCGUCUGAUUAGCUAGUUGGUGAGGUAACGGCCCACCAAGGCGACGAUCAGUAGCUGGUCUGAGAGGAUGAUCAGCCACACUGGGACUGAGACACGGCCCAGACUCCUACGGGAGGCAGCAGUGGGGAAUCUUGCGCAAUGGGCGAAAGCAUGAAGCAGCCAUGCCGCGUGAAUGAUGAAGGUCUUAGGAUUGUAAAAUUCUUUCAGCGGGGACGAUAAUGACGGUACCCGAAGAAGAAGCUCCGGCUAACUUCGUG
Molecule: ribosomal RNA, 433 nt
Filed under: uncultured bacterium
Lineage: Bacteria
Description: partial 16S ribosomal RNA
Rfam family: Bacterial small subunit ribosomal RNA
Source: RNAcentral